RNAcentral lists this ribosomal RNA (236 nucleotides) under uncultured bacterium. Its description in RNAcentral is "partial 16S ribosomal RNA". It matches the Rfam family "Bacterial small subunit ribosomal RNA", at positions 100 to 334 of the family's 1533-position model. The record is from RNAcentral.
CCGGCACGGGUGCGUAGCGCGUAUGCAACCUACCUUUAACAGGGGGAUAACACUGAGAAAUUGGUACUAAUACCCCAUAAUAUCGUAGAAGGCAUCUUUUAUGGUUGAAAAUUCCGAUGGUUAGAGAUGGGCAUGCGUUGUAUUAGCUAGUUGGUGGGGUAACGGCUCACCAAGGCGACGAUCAGUAGCCGGACUGAGAGGUUGAACGGCCACAUUGGGACUGAGACACGGCCCAG